RNAcentral lists this long non-coding RNA (1156 nucleotides) under Phasianus colchicus (ring-necked pheasant). Its description in RNAcentral is "lncRNA (ENSPCLG00000013463.1)". The record is from RNAcentral. Lineage: Eukaryota; Metazoa; Chordata; Aves; Galliformes; Phasianidae.
UGUAAACAGCAAAUAUGCAGUAAUUAGAUUGAAUUAUGUCCUGACAUUGUGACGUAUUAGGUUUUGGAAUAGUUCCCCUGGGGAAGUGGUUAGACUCCUGAGAGUUUCAGAGCUGGAAUGGACUAGCCCUACUAAACUCUACUUAUUUUAAAGACUGAUUUGACUUUAAUGUAAAGCCCUGAAGACAGAUGUAGAACAACAGUACAAUACAGCUGAAUGAACAGAUGUGUGCACCAACCAUACGAUCAUAAAAUAAGAGAAGCAGAAUGGCCAGUAAAGCUCAGAAAAGAGCAGCAGAACAGGGCAGCAGAGUUCAGGGGCAGUCAGAGAGGUCUCAAGAGAAGCAUCCCUUGGGACAUGCCGUGUGAAGACACUGAAGACAUUUCCCACAUGCGACUGAAAUCCCACCCUGUUCCACUAGAGGGUUGUUGCUGAAGGACAAGCCUGAGCAGCAGCACUAAGUGACAGGCCGUGGGCUCUACCUGUGUGUAGUUCUAACUGUUGUUUCCAAAUGCAGGGUUACAGCCUCUACUUCCCACCACUGGUUCUUCUCGCAAAAGCAAUUUAUGAAGCAAAAGCAACUGAAAUGUUAUCCUUUCCCCAGCUUCUGAGCCAUCAAGGCUCCCACUACACUCCUUUCUCAGUCUGACUUUGCUACCUAUUGAACAAGAAUGCUUGACAGAUUAUAAAACAUAAAGAUAAAAAAGACAUUAAAUGUCAUCUCUCUUCCACCAGACAGAAUAUCUACUUUAUUAUUUUUUUUAAUAGUAAAGAAAAGUCAUACCAUAGAAAAAGCAUUAUUGCAGAAUAUUUUGGCUGACAUAACAGACUGUUCCUUGUAAUGGAGAGAAAGAUGGGUCUUGGUCUGAUGGCAGACAUCACCUGUACAUCUUGUCUGAACAGGAGUGCUCAGAAAAAGAGAUCAGAUAAUAUUAAUUCUGCCCCUAAAAAAGGAUAUGGCUGAAACUGAAUGACAAACACCUUGCUUCUUUAAACAAAUUAUUAAAAUAUUUAGAAAUAUAAUAAUGACAAAACAAACACAAUUAUCUACCAUCCCUCCCAACAAGCAGUCAUGCUUUUAUCUGUGAGCAUUCAUCUUUGUGUCGAGUUGUUUCUUUUUUUAACUUGGGGUUGGAUCCUGCCCAGGAUUUGACCU